Molecule: transfer RNA, 71 nt
Filed under: Squilla empusa
Lineage: Eukaryota; Metazoa; Arthropoda; Malacostraca; Stomatopoda; Squillidae
Also listed under: 2 other names
Description: tRNA-Val
Rfam family: tRNA
About the family: Transfer RNA (tRNA) molecules are approximately 80 nucleotides in length. Their secondary structure includes four short double-helical elements and three loops (D, anti-codon, and T loops).
Source: RNAcentral
CAAAAUAGAGCUUGGUUAGUUAAGCAUUUCACUUACGUUGAAAAGAUAUCGUGCAAAUCGAUUUAUUUUGA